CCGGAAUAAUCGGCAGUGUUAUUUUCCUGUCAAAGCGGUGAAGAACGCUGGGAAGAGUUGUUCUCCAGGCUGACAUGAGAGAGGCCCUUCUAGGGCUGCUGCCAUGGUUCAGGAGGAAGCCCCUUCCUGGGAGUCAGGACUUACCAUAGGAAGGUAGGUGGGGCAUUCCUGCAGCUUUGUUCCUGGGCUCCGGGAGGGUGACAGUUCCGAGUACCCUGUCAUAAGGCAAAGGCAUUGAAGGUCACCCCGCCAGAAGAUUCCAGUACUGACACCAGCAGCUGCAGGUACACUGAGUGUGAUCAAACUUAUGUGCUUCUUUUUAUUGGGAAGAAUCCCAAAUGUCAACAAUAGAAUUCCCAGUUUGGAUUGUUAGAAGGAAGACUGAGACUCAAGAGUCUCCACCCCAAAUAUACAUAUCAUAGUUUCCUGCUGUUUCUGUUAUGAUGCCUCUACACACAACAGACUUGAAGGCCAAACAGGAAUGUAGAAAUAAAGGAUCUUUCACAUCAAGAAAUCCAAGAACAGGACAAGUCCAGAUUCAGACCCCAUCCCGUGGAACAGUGCUCUUCACAUUCUGGACAGACCUUCCUUCUUCGGUUCAGCCUUUCUGGAAACUCCCUCAUGGACACAUGCAGAAGUGUGUUUUGAUGGUGAUUCUGAAACCAGUCAAGU
Mesocricetus auratus (golden hamster) is the source of this 672-nucleotide long non-coding RNA. RefSeq lists it as uncharacterized. The transcript is spliced from 3 exons. Lineage: Eukaryota; Metazoa; Chordata; Mammalia; Rodentia; Cricetidae. The record is from RefSeq and is a predicted model, not a curated record.